Molecule: transfer RNA, 73 nt
Filed under: Stegodyphus mimosarum
Lineage: Eukaryota; Metazoa; Arthropoda; Arachnida; Araneae; Eresidae
Rfam family: tRNA
About the family: Transfer RNA (tRNA) molecules are approximately 80 nucleotides in length. Their secondary structure includes four short double-helical elements and three loops (D, anti-codon, and T loops).
Source: Rfam by way of RNAcentral
GCCUUCAUGGUGUAGUGGUCAGCACACUCGACGUGUAACCGAGAGGUCCGUGGUUCGAUUCCUGGCGAAGGCG